AAUGUUAUUUAAAAAAGUUUAGUCUUUUCUUCUUUCUUAUUACAAAAUCUAAAAGAGUGCUACCCUUCUCUCUCUUAUUAAUUCUAAACUUCUUCCUAUGUGUCUUCAGUUUAUCUAUGCCUGUUCGCGAUAGGACUUGCUAGUCAAACUCGGUCACUUCUCAAUUCCUUUUCCCCUACUCAAUUAUUCAGCUGUAGUUUCCCACUAAACACCGUCGUCCCGUCCAAGACUAGGGUUUCGACCCGAAGUUAAGUCGGGAUUUACUUAUCGGAUUCUUAAUGUAUGAUAUUUUGAAGUUCUACCGAGUGGCGGCUCUGUAAAUUAAGCGGAAAUGGAGCCCCUUCGUUGGAUUACGGAGUUUUGGGAGGAUUUCGGAGGUUGUCUGAUGGAUGGGGACUGAUUAGGGUUUCGUUGUUUCUAUUCGUUUUUGGGAUAUUUUCAACUUAAUGUGUUUACUCCCGUAGCAGGAAGUGUAAAUUUUAAGGGUUCUAUUGGGGAAUUAGAAAUUUAGGGUUCCUCUCGUGAGCCCUGUGUGUUUGUUGAUUUUGUAGUGAAAACUUAAAAUUUGAAUAGGAUCAGAAUUUGUAAGCUUUAAUAAUAAGGUUUUGUCACAUUUAGAAGUAGGGAAGUUGUAUAAAAAAAUAGGGAUUAUAUUGGGAGAGAAAUGUUUUAUUCACAGUUCAUAUUGGCGAAGAAAGGUCCGUUGGGGACAAUAUGGAUUGCAGCACAUCUGGAGAGGAAGCUCCGAAAGAAUCAGGUGGCCGAUACUGAUAUCGGUGUCUCUGUUGACUCUAUUCUAUUUCCUGAAGUACCGAUUGCACUACGAUUGUCCAGUCAUCUUCUUCUUGGAGUAGUGAGGAUAUAUUCCCGAAAGGUGAAUUACCUUUUUGAUGAUUGCAGCGAAGCGUUGCUUAAGAUAAAGCAGGCAUUUCGCUCCACUGCAGUUGAUUUACCACCAGAAGAAUCGACUGCGCCCUACCAUUCAAUCACUUUGCCCGAGACUUUUGAUCUUGAUGACUUUGAGCUGCCCGGCAAUGAGAUUUUUCAGGGUAACUAUGUUGAUAAUCACAUUAGCUCAAGAGAGCAGAUUACACUUCAAGAUACCAUGGGCGACGUGGUUUACUCUACAUCACAAUUUGGAUUGGAUGAGCGGUUUGGUGAGGGUGACACUUCUCAGAUUGGUCUGCUUGAUGAGGAACUAGUCCUAGAUCGGGUUGCAGUGCCAGGAUCUGUUGAAGUUUCUGAGUAUGAUCUUCAGGGCUCAGAUGUACCACAGAAAGCGAGUAAUUUAGAAGCUGUGCCUAUGGUUUGCAGUGGGGAUCAGGAUGAAGAUCUAGCUACAAAUUCUGAAUUUGUCGAGAACGAUCAAGAUGUUGGUACUCCUGGAUUAAUGGAAUUGCCUAAUAUGUCUGGUGAUCACAAGGUAUUGGCUGAUCAUAUGGAAUCAGAACAUCACAAUCUUACGGAAUUGGGCAAUGAGUGUGUAGAAAAUGCUUCUAAUAAAUCAAAUUCUCUCUAUGGGGAUACUGGUCCAGUGGAUCAGUCUUUGCACAAUGAUGUAGAUCAUGAUGCUGUGCCUCCUAAAAAUGGUUGCCAUUUUGGUGACAUGGAGAAAGAACAAACUAAACCACCAGGAAAUUCUGUCCAUGAUGCCUUGUGUGUUGAGUACACAUCUGCUGUUGGUAAUGUCAGAGGAUCUGAUGGCUUGGAUAGGGUGGAAGAUAUGCAGAAUGGUGUUAUGCACUCAAUUGAUAGAACUGAGGGAGAAUGUGCAGAAUCUCCUAGCUGCUCCAAUAUCACCUUUGACUUGGAGGAUCCUUCUCGAAGAACAUGUUUAAGUAGCAUCUGUGUGCCCACAUCAGAUGGCUGUUUGGAGAAUGGCCAAGCAUCGCAUAAAUCUGAAAAUGGAAAUGAUGCUGAAACCACUGAUAAUUUGGAAGAGCCAUUCUCUCCUGCCAAAGCAAUAGCUUCAAAUCCUUCCUGUCCCCUGGAGUUGCCCAGUAGGCCAACAGUUAUUGAUGGUGAAGCUCAAGCUUCUCUGGAACCAAAUGAUUCUGAAAAUCCUGAAACACCUAUUGUUCAUGAAAAUCUGUCAUCUGUUCAAGUUCUUGGAAGUGAUAGUCUGGCUGCUGCAGAGCAAAACUUGGUGGAUUUGUCCAGAAGGGAGGAGGAAGUUCAUGCUUCUGGAGCUUCAAUUGAGGUGCAAGUUGAAGCCUGCCAAACUCAGAGUUUGGAACCUGCUUUAUGUGAUGAUCAGUUGGAAAAUUCAAAUAAUUGUGCUAUGUCUGAUUUGCCUGCACCUGAAAAGUUACUCUCUGCACCCGAAGGACCUCUUGAUAAACCAAGUGAUUUGCUGGGAGAGUCUACCCCAGACAAAGAAGUCCUAGCAGAGAAUGAUGAUAUUGAUAGUGGAACCAAGCUCAUUUCAGGAAAAAAACGAAGUAUAGCUGAAAGUACAUUAACCAUAGAGAGUAUGAACUCAGUUGAAUCAUUUGGAAGGCCUAGAUCCAUGAGAACUGCAGAAUCGGUUCCUGAUGAUGAUGACUUAUUGUCUUCUAUUUUAGUUGGAAGAAGAUCUUCUGUUUUCAAAAUGAAACCAACACCUCCUCUUGAAGUAGCAUCCAUGAAACGUGCACGAUCUGCACCAAGAUCUAGUACCAUCAAGAGAAAAGUGCUUAUGGAUGAUACCAUGGUUUUACAUGGCGAUACAAUACGGGAGCAGUUGGUUAAUACUGAAGACAUACGUCGCAUACGCAAGAAAGCCCCUUGCACUCGCCCUGAAAUUUCAUUGAUUCAGGGAAAAUUCUUGGAAGAUGAGAUCUUUAGUGAACCUAUAUUUACUGGUAUCUCAGGUGACUUGGCAUGUUUGCACAGUAAACCAUAUGAUCUAAGCAGUGUCAGGAUUUCUGAAGGUGAGGAAUUCCAUGCAUCAUCUGAACUAGCUAAGAAUUUGGAGUGUUCUGUCAGACCUCGUAUUGGUGAAGCUGGAAUCGAAGUAAGCUCUGUGCCUGUGAUUCAUGGGAAUGAUGAGCAAACACAAUCUGCUGCUAUUCCUAAUCAGGCUGAUACUCAGCAGGGUGAAUACAGUGAUCUUAAUGCUCAGCAGGAUAGAUAUGCUAUUGAUGAUGUACCUCAACUUUUGCAACAUGAACCUUUGAAUGGGAUCACUGAAAUGGAAAUUGACAAAGAUAAUGUUGAAGUUGCUACUCUAGCAAAUUGUUCUGUUCUGAAUGAGUUAGGGGUAUCAUCACAUGCUGAUCUUGAUACUGGAGGUACUAGUAACAAGACAGUUGAGGAGGUAACCAACGCCAUUGAUGGCUCCAUGUUAAACAUUGCAACAUGCCUUCCACCUGAUCAAAAAAUGACUACUCAACCUGGAGAGGAUGCUUCUGAAUUGGAUUUGAGAAAUGACAAAGGAACGAAUCCAACUGAAGUUUUAGAACACGAUGUUGAAAGUAUCAUUGCAGCUGAAACUGAAUCAAAAGCAGCUGAUGAGUUGUUAGAAGAAAGUAAAGCCAAUACUUCAGUUGAGGUCAGUGUAGCAGACUGCCCUGAACCAAUUGAAAAUGGAUAUGAUUCUCUUGCAGCUAUACACACUGGUGAGUUUGUGAAUGGCGCUCAAAAUGCCUAUGAAACUGGAUACGGUAAGAUUGAUGUAGCAGAUGAGGCUCAAGUUGAGGGUUCUUUCUUGGAUAAUGAACACAAAGACAGUAUCUUCAAGGGUAGCGAAGAAAGUAAACUGGAUUCUACAUAUUCAGAGAAGGUUGAUAUGGCUCUGAAAAAUGCUUCGUUAAUUGACGGAGAAACUCCAAUCUUUCUGGAAGUUGAUGCAGUCAAUGAAGAAAUGAUCUCUCUUGCAGAUAAUCGUACUGCAUACGAGGAUGUUGCUGUUGCAAAUGACACAGAAUUUCUGAAUGUAGAUGAUAACGAGCUAGGUGGUGAUGAAGAUGAUGAAGGCAUGCCUUGUGGCAAUGAAAGUCGUCUUCUUGAAAACAGUGGAUGGUCUUCUCGUACCAGGGCUGUUGCCAAGUAUCUCCAGAAUUUAUUUGAGGACGAAGUUAUACAUGGACAUAAGGUACUUUCAAUGGAUAGUCUAUUGGCUCGUAAAACACAAAAAGAAGCAUCGAGGAUGUUUUUUGAAACACUGGUUCUUAAGACAAGAGAUUACAUCCAUGUAGAACAGGGAAAACCCUUUGACAAUAUCUAUAUAAUGCCUAGAGCAAAGCUCAUGAAAGCAGAUUUCUGAUCCUUUUUUACAUAGGAAAAGCUGAUUCAGGGAAAAUUGCCUUAUUGUAGUUCUAGUUCUGAUGCUCAGGCUCAACCUACACAUGGGUUAUUCAAAUAGUCGGCUUGACAUUCAUGCAUUAUUUCACAUUCAUUGUAACUCAUUUAUGAGGGAACACUGCACCCGAUUGUUCAUGAAUCCUAGAGUUGCUGGUUGCAUUUUUCCAAGUGACCAUUCGUGAAAAGAUAUGCCAAUAAUUCAACUUCAUUUGAGUUAAACAGCCAGCUGCCUUUGUUCACACUCAAAGGACCAUUCAAAUCCAAGUGUUCACACCAAAGACCCUUCAGGCGCCUCAAGUUGCAUUCAUUAGCUACUAAUACAUUCGGUGCACUAAGGAAGCAUUAACUUAGGCUCAUAAACAACAUUGACUGAUCAAGUUAAUGAUUCUUUCAGCUCAACUAUGAAGCCCACCUCAAUGGUUGUUCGGGAACUCCAAUUGACAAAGCUCCAAUGAUUGUUCGGGAACUCUUAUUUUCAAAGCUGAUUAAUUAAGCUCUUCAAGAAUCAAUCAGCUGAAUUAAAUUGAACUCCAGUUUUCUUUAGUUGUAAUUAUCUUGUGUUUAUUCAGCUGGUACUUAGCAGCCUAUAAAUAGUUUGCUUGUAACCUGUUUUGAGAACUUUUGAUCUUUGAAUAAAUUUUUACAUCUUUGUGAGUUGUUCAA
RNA transcript from Gossypium raimondii (Peruvian cotton), 4947 nucleotides. It is a transcript of the gene named sister chromatid cohesion 1 protein 4, with no coding region annotated. The transcript is spliced from 16 exons. NCBI's taxonomy places the organism in Eukaryota, Viridiplantae, Streptophyta, Magnoliopsida, Malvales, Malvaceae. The record is from RefSeq and is a predicted model, not a curated record.